GGGAGUAGAGCUCAGUGGUAGAGCGUGUGCUUAGUAUGUGUGAGGUCCUGGGUUCAAACCCCAGGAUCUCCA
RNAcentral lists this transfer RNA (72 nucleotides) under Camelus bactrianus (Bactrian camel). It matches the Rfam family "tRNA". From Rfam's summary of the family: Transfer RNA (tRNA) molecules are approximately 80 nucleotides in length. Their secondary structure includes four short double-helical elements and three loops (D, anti-codon, and T loops). Further hydrogen bonds mediate the characteristic L-shaped molecular structure. tRNAs have two regions of fundamental functional importance: the anti-codon, which is responsible for specific mRNA codon recognition, and the 3' end, to which the tRNAs corresponding amino acid is attached (by aminoacyl-tRNA synthetases). tRNAs cope with the degeneracy of the genetic code in two manners: having more than one tRNA (with a specific anti-codon) for a particular amino acid; and 'wobble' base-pairing, i.e. permitting non-standard base-pairing at the 3rd anti-codon position. Lineage: Eukaryota; Metazoa; Chordata; Mammalia; Artiodactyla; Camelidae. The record is from Rfam by way of RNAcentral. RNAcentral also lists the same sequence under 2 other names.